RNAcentral lists this ribosomal RNA (403 nucleotides) under Brachyptera seticornis. Its description in RNAcentral is "partial 12S ribosomal RNA". The stretch from base 50 to 403 matches the Rfam family "Microsporidia small subunit ribosomal RNA", at positions 752 to 1207 of the family's 1311-position model. Lineage: Eukaryota; Metazoa; Arthropoda; Insecta; Plecoptera; Taeniopterygidae. The record is from RNAcentral.
UAAACUACGAUUAGAUACCCUAUUAUUUUAAAUGUAAAUAAAUAUACUUGAGUAGUAAUAGUUAUGUGCUUGAAACUCAAAGAAUUUGGCGGUGUUUUAGUCCUUUCAGAGGAACCUGUCCCGUAAUCGAUAAUCCGCGAAGAACCUUGCUUAAUUUGGUUUUCAGCUUGUAUACCGCCGUCGUCAGAAUGUCCUUUAAAGGUUUUAAUUUUCUAGAAUUUUUAUUAAAAAUGAUGUCAGGUCAAGGUGCAGUUUAUAAUUAAGUGGAGAUGGGUUACAAUAAAUAUACUUAUACGGAUAACAUCUUGCAAAAGAUGUUUGAAGGUGGAUUUGAUGGUAAUUUUAUUUAUAAAGUUAAUUUGAUUUUGGCUCUAAAACAUGCACACAUCGCCCGUCGCUCUUA